GCUCAAGUUUGUUCAUUUUUUCUAUCAUUUCAUUCCUUUUAUUCAAGGGCAUCCCUCAUGGUUUUGCAAGCAAGGUCCUUUUAUUUAAGAGGCAAGUUCAAUUUCUUUCAAUUCAAAGUCUUCAAAGAAUUUUUUUUUAUUAUUCUCAAGUUCACUCAAUUCAUCACGGCUUAGGUGAUAAUUCAAAAAUAAGCAAAGUAUGUCAACUAGUCGUGCCAUUUCUUCAACCGGAUAUUACAAAAGUAGAAACCACAUUUUGCCUUGUAUUACACAAAAAUAAGGAAUUACAAGACAUUUUGUUCUGUGUUUCUAAAGCUAUGCUAAACUUCUUGUCAAGUUCCUCAUGCCUGCCCUAA
This is a non-coding RNA of Vicia faba (fava bean), 356 nucleotides long. Lineage: Eukaryota; Viridiplantae; Streptophyta; Magnoliopsida; Fabales; Fabaceae. The record is from the annotation of a GenBank genome assembly.